UCCACUGUGAGAUGGAAUCUGAAGGAAGUCGGCGGCAAAGCUCUGGUCUGAGGAACACGAACUACAUAUAAAGCAUAUGCGCGAUGGGUGAGUUUGCCAAACAAAACGUAGCCCAAAACUAUCCAAAGUGUGUGGUGUAACUACCUAAUAGUUUGAAACAGAUAGUCACCUGA
This 173-nucleotide non-coding RNA is filed under the name Sporomusa malonica. The record is from RNAcentral. Lineage: Bacteria; Bacillati; Bacillota; Negativicutes; Selenomonadales; Sporomusaceae.